CUGGCCUCCAAAAUUGUGAGAAAAUACAUUUCCAUUGCUCGAGCCCUCCACUCUGAUAUUUUGUUAUGACAGCCCUAGCCAACCAAUAUAGUUGGACAGUGCUACUUUGCUGGACAUCCAUUUGGUAAAUUCUAUGGUGCCAUGCUCAUUUUCCAAAAUUAAGCAGAGAGAAACCACUUCUUACAAAAGGAGCCAGCUGAGAAGAAGUCCUUUUCUUUCUUUGCAAAAGGGCAGGGUAAGUCAAGAGUAUUUAUACUCUGAAACAAACUGUUUGUUGUAGAAGAAAGCUGGAUAUCUGGAGAUUCAGAAACUGUUCCCAUUUUUAAUAGCAUUGCGAGAAUCACUUUUCGCCUUAGUUUUUCCAUCUGCAACAUGGUGGCAGUGCCUGUCUCUUUCAGCACCUAUUACAGAGUAGAUGCCCAAUAAAUUCCUUCAGUCAAUAUUACUGAGUGCCUAGUAAAGGCCAGACAUUGUUCUUAUGAUUAGGGAUCCAGAAAUGAACCAAAUAAGCAGUUCUUAUGCUCUCUAGUGGGGGAGAAGGUAGUAAACAAAUGAAUAUAUGAUAUUGGGGUAUGCACAUCCCAGAUCCACUUGUCCCCAUCUGUGCCCUAGGUCUAAGCCAGUAGUCAACCCAGCACCAACUCACACAGUUCCCUUAAUCGUAAAGCCCCAUCUUCCACCCAACUCCUUGGGGACUGGGGGACCACAGCAACUCCUGUGCCCAAGUCAGAGUGCCUACUGGAUCUGGGUAAUAAGACAGAAGUUUUAAACAAAGAAUACAAGGCUAAGUUGCUCUGGACAGUUAGGCACUAACUAAACCAGGGGAGGGAGAGUAAAGAAACAAAAGUUUACCUGGCUGGGCUUGGGGGAGAGCCAGGAAAGAUUGGAAAGUUUGGGAAGUGGGAAGAAAAAGUCUUUGGGGCAGCAACUAUGUAUGGUUGAUGCUGAGAAUGAGAUAUAUGGGAGUGGGGGUGAUUGGCUGUUCAUUUUAAAUCUACUCAUUCUUCUGAGGCUGCUAUUCCCUUGACUCAGGCCGCCUGUGGGGUUUCCUAGUGGGAAGACCUUGCUCCGUAGGGGUUUAGGCUGAGAAGUCACGUGUUUUAAUCUGGUUCAGGUUUCCCCUUUAAGACUCUUCAACAUCAGAAACAAUCGUGCCCUGAAACACCCUGUGAAACCCUCCAAAUGGCAAAGGGCAGCGCUCAAAGCAACCCAGGGUCUUCUGAUUUGCUCUCUCCUUCACCUCUCCACAGUCCUUCAGGUACUUCCAGUACUGGAGAAGCUAUCCUACCAAUAACAGUCUUUAACUAUAGGAGAACGCUGACCUCUCAAAAGAGUAAAUUUAUUUAAAUCUUAAUGAGUCAUAACAAUUUUGUGUCAUCUUCGUUUUAUGGAAAUCUAAGUGGGAAAAAAAAAUCCUUAUGCAGAGGGAAUGAGAAAUAGGUACUGAACGAAAUGUGAUAAACAUUCUCCCUUCUGUUAAAUUUUAUUACUCUGCAACAGACUCAAGUCAACACAACUAAAAAGCAAGGCAAGUUAAGUUUGAGAUUUCACAGUGGCUCUUUUAAAGGUCUGUUGUGGGGGGCACUUGGGUGGCUCAGUGGUUGAGCAUCUGCCUUUGGAUCAGGU
Molecule: long non-coding RNA, 1626 nt
Filed under: Canis lupus familiaris (dog)
Lineage: Eukaryota; Metazoa; Chordata; Mammalia; Carnivora; Canidae
Description: lncRNA (ENSCAFG00000059150.1, ENSCAFG00845029074.1)
Source: RNAcentral